Oncorhynchus tshawytscha (Chinook salmon) is the source of this 2878-nucleotide long non-coding RNA. The record is from Ensembl. NCBI's taxonomy places the organism in Eukaryota, Metazoa, Chordata, Actinopteri, Salmoniformes, Salmonidae.
CCUGUCAACACUGGGUAAGGAAGAGAAACAUUUGCUAUGACACGGAGAAACCAAAGACGGUGAUGGCAUGCAAAUACUGCUAGACGCCACUGAGCGGUUGUCCUCUAGAGAGCCAUUCUGGACAAUAGGGACCUGCAGUGUCUCAGGUAUCUGCUGUGUCUCAGGACUACAUUGGUUACAUUGACCUCUGAUAAAGAUCUGGCUCAGUGGAUGUGGUCUCUCCCAUCCUCCCUCCCUGCCUGUCAGCCUAGCAGAGAGCAGUCUGGCAACACGUGCUGAGACACUGAAAUUGUUCAGAGUGACCGCUGGGAUGAAGUGAUGUACUGUGGCUGUUAUAACUUUUUAUUCAACCUUUAACCAGAUCACUCUUCGGUUAAUAUCUCUCCUCACCAUGAUGACCUACAAUGCGUACUGUAGGACAAGCACCAACAAUCCAUCCACUCUGAGUGAUACAAAAGCAGCAGGGGACUGAGAGGCACCCGAUCCUGCCCUGAAUAGGUUGUCUUCAGGUCAGUGCUUGUCCCGUCAGCUGCUGACUCCAGGCAGUCAAUGGGCAUUGUUGACUGGUCCCUCUGUGAUGCCAGCACAGCCCUGUGUGUGUGUGUGUGUGUGUGUGUGUGUGUGUGUGUGUGUGUGUGUGUGUGUGUGUGUGUGUGUGUGUGUGUGUGUGUGUGUGUGUGUGUGUGUGUGUGUGUGUGUGUGUGUGUGUGUGUGUGUGUGUGUGUGUGUGUGUGUGUGUGUGGACCACAAGGCCAUGCGGCCUGGCUCAGGGUGAGUGGAAUCCCUGGUCUGAAAUGUCACAUCGCCGUGUUAGAGAGGUACAGACACAUCACAGUCACCCUGUCCCCCUCCUCCUUUUCCUAUUGUGACAGGUAUUUAUACUGACCCUCUGACCACUACCUGCUCUGCUCUGCUUGGUCAAAUCCGAAAUGAUGUCUGGAAUGUAUCUUCUGAGAAUAUCAAUAAAUAAGAAGCCAGCUGUAAUGUAUAGUGUAACCUGUACUUCAAAUAGGAGUUGUUUCCUCAAAACUGUCUCUAUAUAUUUUUCUUCCGAUAUGACUGUUCAUAUCUAAGACAUUCUUUUGUGUAUUGGAAAGAGGUGUGUAGAAUUAAGAGGUGUAGGAGGAAGGUGUGUAUAGGAGAGAAGUGUGCAGCCUAUAGAGACAGAGGUAUAGGAGAGACAUAGCUGGGCCUGGCUACUGCGGAGCCAGGCCCAGCCAAUCAGAAUUAGUUUUAACCCAACAAAAGGGCUUUAUUACAAACAUAAAUGCUCCUCAGUUUCAUCAGCUGUCGGGUGGCUGGUCUCAGACAACCCCGCAUGUGAAGAAGCUGGAUGUGGAGGUCCUGGGCAGGCUUGGUUACAGGUGGUCUGCGGUUGUGAGGCCGGUUGGACGUACUGCUAAAUUCUCUAAAACGACAUUGGAGGCCACUUAAGGUAGAGAAAUUGACAUUCAAUUCUCUGGUUUCAAGUUUCAAGAGAGUUUCAAGUUCCUUGAUGUCCACAUCACCAACGAUAUAUCAUGGUCCAAACACACUAAGACAUUCGAGAAGAGGGCACAACAAAACCUUUUCCCCCUCAGGAAACUGAAAAGAUUAGGCAUGGGUCCCCAGAUCCUCAAAAGGUUCUACAGCUGCACCAUCGAGCACAUCCUGACAGGUUACAGGUCAUCCUGGUAUGGCAACUGUUCGGCAUCUGACCGUAAGACGCUAUAGUGGGUAGUGCGUACGGCCCAGUACAUCACUGGGGCCAAGCUUCCUGCAAUCCAGGACCUGUAUAAUAAGCGGUCAGAGGAAAACCCAUAAGAUUGUCAGAGACUCCAGUCACCCAAGUCAUAGACUGUUUUCUCUACUACCGCACAGCAAGGAGUACCGGAGUGCCAAGUCUAGGACCAAAAGGCUCCUUAACAGCUUCUACCCCCAAGCCAUAAGACUACUGAACAAUUAAUCAAAUGGCCACCAGACUAUUACAUUGAACCCCCCCCGCCCAUUUUUUUUUUAUACCCUGCUGCUACUCGCUGUUUAUUAUCUAUGCAUAGUCACUUCACUCCUACCUACAUGUACAAAUUACCUCUAACCUGUUAUUGUUACUUUUUAUAAUUUUUUACUUUAGUUAAUUUGGUAAAUAUUUUCUUAACUCUUCUUGAACUGCACUGUUGGUUAAGGGUUUGUAAGUAAGCAAUUCAUGGUAAAGUCUACACUUGUUGUAUUCGGCGUAUGUGACAAAUAAAGUUUCAUUUGAUUUGAUUUGGUGGACAUUCCUGCAGUCAGAAUGCCAAUUGCACACUCCCUCAAAACUUGAGACAUCUGUGGCAUUGUGUUGUGUGACAAACCUAUACAUUUUAGUGUAUUUUUAUUGUCCUCGACACAAGGUUCAUCUGUGUAAUGACCAUGCUGUUUAAUCAGCUUCUUGAUAUACCACACCUGUCAGGUGGAUGGAUUAUUUUGGCAAAGGAGAAAUGCUCUCCUACAGGGAUGUAAACAAAUUUGUGCAUUUUUGAGAAAUAAGCUUUUUGUGCAUAUGGAACAUUUCUGGGAUCUUUUAUUUCAGCUUAUAAAACAUGGAACCAAUACUUUUUUUUCAGUAUUUAUGACUUCCGAUAUUAAUAAUUGGGAAAUUCAUUGAAAAUAUUGGUAAAAAUGAUUUGAAUAGGCUCAUCUCAGCACUGUGAAUUUGUAAGGGAAAACCUGGCCAUGCAUUCAAAUUUAUAAAAGGUAGCCUACUGUAUAUAAGGUAUCCUUUUCCGUUUUUUACUAUGCAUAAUUAUCAUACCAAAUUAGAAAUAUUGUAAGAAAAAGUGCAAGUUCUUUUUAACUUGAUAUAUUUUCACUUAUAAAUUAAAAUGAAAAGAAAAACAAAAAUUGUUGUCUGACACCUAGU